RNAcentral lists this transfer RNA (73 nucleotides) under Enterobius vermicularis (human pinworm). It matches the Rfam family "tRNA". From Rfam's summary of the family: Transfer RNA (tRNA) molecules are approximately 80 nucleotides in length. Their secondary structure includes four short double-helical elements and three loops (D, anti-codon, and T loops). Lineage: Eukaryota; Metazoa; Nematoda; Chromadorea; Rhabditida; Oxyuridae. The record is from Rfam by way of RNAcentral.
GGCCCUGUGGCCCAAUGAAUAAGGCGCUGCUCUCCUAAAGCGAAGACUGCAGGUUCGAGUCCUGGUUGGGUCA